This 218-nucleotide ribosomal RNA is filed under the name Enterococcus asini. Its description in RNAcentral is "partial 16S ribosomal RNA". It matches the Rfam family "Bacterial small subunit ribosomal RNA", at positions 578 to 795 of the family's 1533-position model. The record is from RNAcentral. Lineage: Bacteria; Bacillati; Bacillota; Bacilli; Lactobacillales; Enterococcaceae.
GUCUCUUAAGUCUGAUGUGAAAGCCCCCGGCUCAACCGGGGAGGGUCAUUGGAAACUGGGAGACUUGAGUGCAGAAGAGGAGAGUGGAAUUCCAUGUGUAGCGGUGAAAUGCGUAGAUAUAUGGAGGAACACCAGUGGCGAAGGCGGCUCUCUGGUCUGUAACUGACGCUGAGGCUCGAAAGCGUGGGGAGCAAACAGGAUUAGAAACCCUGGUAGUC